GCGGGGGCGAAGCUGCUCCGGCAGCGCUGCGGUUCAGAGGCCGCGCUCGGGUCGCGAUGUCCCAGCUGGAGGGACAGCGGGGACCGCCGGUGACGCGUUUGUGUGACCCUUGGCCUGGCCUGCACCUUGUCCUGCCCUUGGAUCUAAAUCUGCUCAUGCCCCUUCGUUUAAAACUCAGUAUUAAGUCCCUGUCCUUCCCCUCUGCCUCCCUGCCCCAAGUUACUUUAAGCUCAUUUUACAAAGAAGGCACUGCAUGUUUUAGGUAAAAAAACCACAAACCUUCAGCACAGAUUGCAAGAUGUGUUUUCUCCACUGUUCUGCAGCAGUUCCUGUUCUCCUGCCCGUUGCACUGGUAUAGCCUGUAAUGGAAAUUGGGAAUUCUGUCCUGAAAUAUCUCCUGGAAACAUCACUGCGAUUUUCUUUCCCCAUGCAGAAAGCUGGAGGGAAAAGCUUUUUUAGGGAUCCAGCUGACCAGUAUCUUCCAGAGGACCUGCUUGUAUUAAAAAAAAAAAAUUAAAAGGGGGUAAAAGUGGGAUAAAAGUGGGGCUGGAAGACAAUGCAAUAAUCAUGGCUCAGCAGAAAUGUGGAUACUGGUAGAUGGAGAGACACCUGCUCCUGUGCUGGGACACAGGUACCACACAGAUUGUGAUCUAGAGCUCUGUAUGUAUUUAAAUAUAGACUGGUUUGAAGAAUUCAGGCUUUUCUCUCUCUCUCUCAUGGUUAAAUGGAAACCAAUAGUGUGUGUGCAGUGUGGGAAAUCUUUCAAGCCUGAGCAAAACCUCCUAUGGUCAGGGCCGCCGUGUGCAGCGAUGUGGGAUGGAGCAGCUGCACAGUGGGGAUUGUGCUCCCAGGGACAGGGACGGGCUCGGAGCCCUCCUGCCUCUCCCAGCUGGAGUCAGCGGCUCCACACAAUUCCUGGUGGCUCCUCUGGAAGACCAGGCUAAUUGCUCGUGUCUCCUGCGAGGACAGAUGUGCCCAGAAACGAAGUGCACUGACAGAAACCCGCAGUGUUUGCCAUCUCAAACAGCGCUCGGCCCUGCAAAGUUGUUUUUCUGCAUUAAAGAGAAAUGUUGGAGUUAAUUGAGGUGAAUGCAAUGAUAGCUGGCAGCUGUAUCAUAACAACCCCUCCUCACACACACAGGCACAAGGAAGCAGAGCAGCACUGCUAUUGUUUGUUGCUUUAUUCUGCCUUUGACUUCUUUUUUUUUUUUUUUCCUUUUUUCAAUGCCAUGUUUUCUUUUAAAGUUAUCUGCUCUAAUCUGCAGCAAUAUGGGUUCAUAACUGACUGUAUUUGGACUAAGGAUAUUCUUGUGCCAUGUGUUUUCCUGGUCAGGCAUUUAGAGUACAAGCUGUAUUGAAAGUUACACUGAAAACAUCAGACAGAACUAGUGUAAUAUUAAGCCAGCUUUGUAUUAUUUUUUAUUCCCAUUCAUUUUUAAAGCCUUAACAACCCCUUUAUUUAACUGUCUUGCAGAGUAAGUUGUUAUUGAACGCUUACAAUUAGCAUUUUCAUAGCCUGUUUCAUGGGUUUGGUUUUUUUAAUUUGUUUGGGUUUUUAUAUGUAUUAUUUGUUUGUUUUAAACUGCCAAAGGGCAUAAACAUACUCCCAGUUUUCUGUAGCCACCUGACAGCAUGUAUGAAGAGGGAAAUAAAGAUGUUCUCUUCCUGUA
Molecule: long non-coding RNA, 1670 nt
Organism: Pipra filicauda (Wire-tailed manakin)
Lineage: Eukaryota; Metazoa; Chordata; Aves; Passeriformes; Pipridae
Exons: 2
Source: RefSeq, a predicted model, not a curated record